GAGGGUAUAGCUCAAGUGGUAGAGUGCAUGCCUAGCAUGCACAAGGUCCUGGGUUCAAUCCCUGAUACCUCCU
This 73-nucleotide transfer RNA is filed under the name Camelus bactrianus (Bactrian camel). It matches the Rfam family "tRNA". From Rfam's summary of the family: Transfer RNA (tRNA) molecules are approximately 80 nucleotides in length. Their secondary structure includes four short double-helical elements and three loops (D, anti-codon, and T loops). RNAcentral also lists the same sequence under 3 other names. The record is from Rfam by way of RNAcentral. Lineage: Eukaryota; Metazoa; Chordata; Mammalia; Artiodactyla; Camelidae.